Long non-coding RNA from Paramormyrops kingsleyae, 496 nucleotides. RefSeq lists it as uncharacterized. The record is from RefSeq and is a predicted model, not a curated record. Lineage: Eukaryota; Metazoa; Chordata; Actinopteri; Osteoglossiformes; Mormyridae.
UAUUUGUCAGUCAUUACCGCAAGUGAUGCACAGAUACAUUACUACAUUUACACCGCUGUAAUCCGGAUGUAUCGUAUGCAGGAUUUUGCAACGACCUCCGACUGAAAAACUGCCCCAUUUAGCACACGUAAUUCUUGACUGUAUAGAAAGAUGUACAGAUGUUCAUUAGUAGAAUUUUUAUGAACUGAUGCCAAAUUAAUUAUUACUUUUGUUUUAUAUAUUAAGAUAUUCUUUUUGAUUUAUGCACUCGGUUCGUACUAUAGUAUUGCAGUUUCGUAACUAUUAUGUUGCUUGCAGCCAGUGAAUCUUAUGGCUCUUCACCUCCAUGGACUGCCUGUCUGUUCUGCUGUUCCCUUUGAAGCUGGUGAUGAUGGAGGAGCCUAUGAGAAGGACGAUUAAUUACCUGGAGGACUUGAGUCUGAGAAGCUUUGGGUGCGAUUCAAAGGCCAACGGGAAGGUUCCGUCACUCUUGCCUGAGUGCCUUGAAUGAUGGGAG